GUUUUCGGAUCGUAAAGCUCUGUUGUUAGAGAAGAAUGAUGGUGGGAGUGGAAAAUCCACCAAGUGACGGUAACUAACCAGAAAGGGACGGCUAACUACGUGCCAGCAGCCGCGGUAAUACGUAGGUCCCGAGCGUUGUCCGGAUUUAUUGGGCGUAAAGCGAGCGCAGGCGGUUUUUUAAGUCUGAAGUUAAAGGCAUUGGCUCAACCAAUGUACGCUUUGGAAACUGGAGAACUUGAGUGCAGAAGGGGAGAGUGGAAUUCCAUGUGUAGCGGUGAAAUGCGUAGAUAUAUGGAGGAACCCGGUGGCGAAAGCGGCUCUCUGGUCUGUAACUGACGCUGAGGCUCGAAAGCGUGGGGAGCAAACAGGAUUAGAUACCCUGGUAGUCCACGCCGUAAACGAUGAGUGCUAGGUGUUAGGCCCUUUCCGGGGCUUAGUGCCGGAGCUAACGCAUUAAGCACUCCGCCUGGGGAGUACGACCGCAAGGUUGAAACUCAAAGGAAUUGACGGGGGCCCGCACAAGCGGUGGAGCAUGUGGUUUAAUUCGAAGGCAACGCGAAGAACCUUACCAGGUCUUGACAUCCCGAUGCCCGCUCUAGAGAUAGAGUUUUACUUCGGUACAUCGGUGACAGGUGGUGCAUGGUUGUCGUCAGCUCGUGUCGUGAGAUGUUGGGUUAAGUCCCGCAACGAGCGCAACCCCUAUUGUUAGUUGCCAUCAUUAAGUUGGGCACUCUAGCGAGACUGCCGGUAAUAAACCGGAGGAAGGUGGGGAUGACGUCAAAUCAUCAUGCCCCUUAUGACCUGGGCUACACACGUGCUACAAUGGUUGGUACAACGAGUCGCAAGCCGGUGACGGCAAGCUAAUCUCUUAAAGCCAAUCUCAGUUCGGAUUGUAGGCUGCAACUCGCCUACAUGAAGUCGGAAUCGCUAGUAAUCGCGGAUCAGCACGCCGCGGUGAAUACGUUCCCGGGCCUUGUACACACCGCCCGUCACACCACGAGAGUUUGUAACACCCGAAGUCGGUGAGGUAACCUAUUAGGAGCCAGCC
This 1048-nucleotide ribosomal RNA is filed under the name Streptococcus pyogenes. RNAcentral describes it as "bacterial SSU rRNA". It matches the Rfam family "Bacterial small subunit ribosomal RNA", at positions 414 to 1454 of the family's 1533-position model. Lineage: Bacteria; Bacillati; Bacillota; Bacilli; Lactobacillales; Streptococcaceae. The record is from RNAcentral.